RNAcentral lists this transfer RNA (67 nucleotides) under Marmota monax (woodchuck). RNAcentral describes it as "tRNA.Ala". Lineage: Eukaryota; Metazoa; Chordata; Mammalia; Rodentia; Sciuridae. The record is from RNAcentral.
GGAUUGUGGCUCAGUGGUAGAGUGCUCACCUAGCAUGUUCGAGACCUGGGUUCAAUCCUCAGCACCA